RNAcentral lists this ribosomal RNA (902 nucleotides) under Dothistroma pini. RNAcentral describes it as "LSU rRNA". It matches the Rfam family "Eukaryotic large subunit ribosomal RNA", at positions 34 to 967 of the family's 3401-position model. The record is from RNAcentral. Lineage: Eukaryota; Fungi; Ascomycota; Dothideomycetes; Mycosphaerellales; Mycosphaerellaceae.
UUAAGCAUAUCAAUAAGCGGAGGAAAAGAAACCAACAGGGAUUGCCCUAGUAACGGCGAGUGAAGCGGCAACAGCUCAAAUUUGAAAUCUGGCGCAAGCCCGAGUUGUAAUUUGUAGAGGAUGCUUCUGGCCAGCGGCCGUUCUAAGUUCCUUGGAACAGGACGUCAUAGAGGGUGAGAAUCCCGUAUGUGACCGGCGCGCAGCCUUUACGUAGCUCCUUCGACGAGUCGAGUUGUUUGGGAAUGCAGCUCUAAAUGGGAGGUAAAUUUCUUCUAAAGCUAAAUACCGGCCAGAGACCGAUAGCGCACAAGUAGAGUGAUCGAAAGAUGAAAAGCACUUUGGAAAGAGAGUUAAAAAGCACGUGAAAUUGUUGAAAGGGAAGCGCUUGCAACCAGACUUCGUAGCGAUGUUCCGCUGGUCUUCUGACCGGUCUACUCAUCGUCGCGAGGCCAACAUCGUCUGGGGCCGCUGGAUAAGACCUAAGGAAUGUAGCUUCCCUCGGGAAGUGUUAUAGCCUGUGGUGAUGCAGCGUGUCUCGGGCGAGGUCCGCGCUUCGGCAAGGAUGUUGGCGUAAUGGUUGUCAGCGGCCCGUCUUGAAACACGGACCAAGGAGUCUAACAUCUAUGCGAGUGUUCGGGUGUCAAACCCCUACGCGUAAUGAAAGUGAACGGAGGUGGGAAGCGCAAGCUGCACCAUCGACCGAUCCUGAUGUCCUCGGAUGGAUUUGAGUAAGAGCAUAGCUGUUGGGACCCGAAAGAUGGUGAACUAUGCCUGAAUAGGGUGAAGCCAGAGGAAACUCUGGUGGAGGCUCGCAGCGGUUCUGACGUGCAAAUCGAUCGUCAAAUUUGGGUAUAGGGGCGAAAGACUAAUCGAACCAUCUAGUAGCUGGUUCCUGCCGAAGU